This 240-nucleotide ribosomal RNA is filed under the name Xanthomonas citri pv. citri. RNAcentral describes it as "partial 23S ribosomal RNA". It matches the Rfam family "Bacterial large subunit ribosomal RNA", at positions 2599 to 2834 of the family's 2925-position model. Lineage: Bacteria; Pseudomonadati; Pseudomonadota; Gammaproteobacteria; Lysobacterales; Lysobacteraceae. The record is from RNAcentral.
CGCGAGCUGGGUUCAGAACGUCGUGAGACAGUUCGGUCCCUAUCUACCGUGGGCGCUGGAAAUUUGAGAGGAUCUGCUCCUAGUACGAGAGGACCGGAGUGGACGAACCUCUGGUGUACCGGUUGUGACGCCAGUCGCAUCGCCGGGUAGCUAUGUUCGGAAGCGAUAACCGCUGAAAGCAUCUAAGCGGGAAGCCUACCUCAAGAUAAGAUUUCCCUGUGACUAUAUGUCACCUAAAGA